This 580-nucleotide long non-coding RNA is filed under the name Neodiprion pinetum (white pine sawfly). RNAcentral's name for it is "uncharacterized LOC124217759". Lineage: Eukaryota; Metazoa; Arthropoda; Insecta; Hymenoptera; Diprionidae. The record is from RNAcentral.
UUUUAUACCUACACCGCACUGCAGUUGCGGGCAGCGAACGAGACGGUGAUUUCUUUUGUCAAAUUGCCAAAAGACUGCAGGUCCGUUCAUAUACAGACGAUACGUUAAAUGUAGGUGGUAGGAAUUAUUUGCCUCCGUGCGUAGUCAAUUAUAUUGUAUAAACGAAGAUGAAACCAAGGAAUAGAACAACAUAAACUGAAAUAAAAUUGAAAAUCGUGUUGGACAAGGUUUUUCUUACAGAAAAAAGGGGGGGGACGGGGUUACAGGCACAAAAGGAACAUUAAAGAAGACUAUUUUCCUGCUAACCUUUUAUUAUUAUUAUUGUUGUUUUCGCUGUUGCUGUUGUUAUACCGUUUACUGCGCAAUAUAAAUGAACAGGUAUAUUGUCAGUGCAGAGACGGAGCCUGCAGAGAGAGUUUACGGAAAAUUAAUUGUAAGCCAUGAAUAACAUCGAAUAUCCUCAAAUGUGUCACGCGUCGUUCUCCUUCAUUCUGGCCGUGAAGGUCCUUGCUGUAAAACGGAAACGUCAAAAAAAAAAAAAAAAAGCAAUGAAUAACUAAAUAUACCAAUGAUUUGUGAA